RNAcentral lists this unclassified non-coding RNA (454 nucleotides) under uncultured Russulaceae. RNAcentral describes it as "sequence contains ITS2". The stretch from base 1 to 154 matches the Rfam family "5.8S ribosomal RNA". The record is from RNAcentral. Lineage: Eukaryota; Fungi; Basidiomycota; Agaricomycetes; Russulales; Russulaceae.
AACUUUUAACAAUGGAUCUCUUGGCUCUCGCAUCGAUGAAGAACGAAGCGAAAUGCGAUACGUAAUGUGAAUUGCAGAAUUCAGUGAAUCAUCGAAUCUUUGAACGCACCUUGCGCCCUUUGGCAUUCCGAGGGGCACACCCGUUUGAGUGUCGUGACAUCCUCAAAACCUUCUUGGUUUCUUGACCGGGAAGGCUUUGUACUUUGGAGGUUUUUGCUGUCCUUCCUUUGUUGGAGCCAGCUCCUCUGAAAUGAAGUAGUGGGGUCCGCUUUGCCGAUCCUUUACGUGAUAUGGUGUUUUCUACGUCUGGGGUUUCGCACUGUUCGCUCUGGAUCCUGCUUCUAACUGUCUCAUAGAGGACAAUGGUCAAGUGAUUGCCACUUGACUCACACACCUUGCCCUCAAAUGGGGUGAGACUACCCGCUGAACUUAAGCAUAUCAAUAAGCGGAGGCU